AGCCAUGCCGCGUGUAUGAAGAAGGUCCUUCGGGUUGUAAAGUACUUUCAGCAGUGAGGAAGGUGGGUAUGUUAAUAGCAUAUUCAUUUGACGUUAGCUGCAGAAGAAGCACCGGCUAACUCCGUGCCAGCAGCCGCGGUAAUACGGAGGGUGCGAGCGUUAAUCGGAAUUACUGGGCGUAAAGCGCAUGCAGGUGGUUUGUUAAGUCAGAUGUGAAAGCCCGGGGCUCAACCUCGGAAUUGCAUUUGAAACUGGCAAACUAGAGUACUGUAGAGGGGGUAGAAUUUCAGGUGUAGCGGUGAAAUGCGUAGAGAUCUGAAGGAAUACCGGUGGCGAAGGCGGCCCCCUGGACAGAUACUGACACUCAGAUGCGAAAGCGUGGGGAGCAAACAGGAUUAGAUACCCUGGUAG
RNAcentral lists this ribosomal RNA (411 nucleotides) under uncultured bacterium. RNAcentral's name for it is "bacterial SSU rRNA". It matches the Rfam family "Bacterial small subunit ribosomal RNA", at positions 390 to 793 of the family's 1533-position model. The record is from RNAcentral.